RNAcentral lists this non-coding RNA (121 nucleotides) under Ornithorhynchus anatinus (platypus). The record is from RNAcentral. Lineage: Eukaryota; Metazoa; Chordata; Mammalia; Monotremata; Ornithorhynchidae.
GUGUUGCGUGAGAGGAGGGAAGGUCAACCCUGCCCUUGAGAUGGACGGAAGAGGUCCCAGUGCAGCCCACACACGGUUAAGGCAUCGCCACCUACCUCAUGGCAUCCAACCGAGAUCUUCC